Long non-coding RNA from Phycodurus eques (leafy seadragon), 926 nucleotides. RefSeq lists it as uncharacterized. The transcript is spliced from 2 exons. The record is from RefSeq and is a predicted model, not a curated record. NCBI's taxonomy places the organism in Eukaryota, Metazoa, Chordata, Actinopteri, Syngnathiformes, Syngnathidae.
UAUUUGACUUCCUCAGUAACUGCAAGGACGCCGUGAGGCUGGCCGCAAAGCAAUUGAAAAGAAAAAAGCAGAUUGUUGAUUGGCUCCCCGCGAGCAGCGGCUCGGAAAGCACCGCAUCGGCAGCAAAAAACCCAAAACAAACGCCUGCAUACUUAACAAGCCCUGAACACGGAGGGAAAGUAUGUCCAAUAAACCUCUUUUACGAUGUGUUGCGCUCUGAACGGCUUGGCACGACGCCGCGGAAGGUUUUAAAGAAGCAGACGGUCGGAUUCCGUGCUCGCCUCGGCAGACGAGGGACGACAUUCCGCAUUCCUGAAACGACGACGACUCCUCUGCAGAAAGACGACAAAAGAGCGAUUCGUCAACUCGGGGCCAAACGGCAGAGGGAAAAGAAAAACUUGCCACUCGAUGUGAUAACACGCUGUCCUUGUAACGGGGGAGCUUAUCUGGCCGCGACGGCGGAAGGGCCGGCCCGCAUUCUUUUGUGCUGACCUCACGCAGGAACACCGUGAACCCAAAAAGGCUUCAUGGAAAUUCGAGCAGCAAACCAAUAUUGUAGAUCGCGGCCGCCUUUCGCGUCGAUGUCCAGGAAAACGCUCGUGCGCCUUCUUCGCUUGCCGCCUUUCGUUCAUCACAUCUGCACGCGACCAUGCAGAAGAAGCAACGGAGGCUUCUCACGGGCAGGAAUGCCCGCAGAUCGGUUGGACGGCUGCCCCAGAAAGACGACGCUCUCGACUUUCUCCAGGGAGCGACAAAGUACAAAUACCUUCUCAGGACCUUUCUGUACUUAACUCGGUCGACAUGGGGGAAAAAAAGAUGUCAACUGCAGUCAAGACUUUGACUGAUUGCCAAAUUCAAAUUUGGUUGCUUGGUGAAGAUAAGCGGUACAGAAAAUGGAUGGAUGGAUGAAAUGGAAUCAAGAUGGA